CCCUUCAUUCCACCGGAAUCUGUCACCGCAAAAACCGGAUUUCUGUGAAAUGAAGCCCA
RNAcentral lists this microRNA precursor (59 nucleotides) under Anolis carolinensis (green anole). RNAcentral describes it as "Aca-Mir-205-P2_pre stem-loop". The record is from RNAcentral. Lineage: Eukaryota; Metazoa; Chordata; Lepidosauria; Squamata; Anolidae.